GUAGAAAUAAUUUAAAUAAAAUAUUGAAUUGUGAUUUCAAAUAUGUGCUUUUCACUUUCUACC
RNAcentral lists this transfer RNA (63 nucleotides) under Hemipodia simplex. RNAcentral describes it as "tRNA-His". The record is from RNAcentral. Lineage: Eukaryota; Metazoa; Annelida; Polychaeta; Phyllodocida; Glyceridae.